AAGGAAUUCGCGGGGGCCCGCACAAACGGUAGAACAUGGGGUUUAAUUUGAAACCACGCGGAGCACCUUCCCAGGUCUUGACAUCCUUUGACAAUCCUUGAGAUAGGGCUUCUCCUUCGGGACCAGAGUGACAGGUGGUGCAUGGUUGUCGUCAGCUCGUGUCGUGAGAUGUUGGGUUAAGUCCCGCAACGAGCGCAACCCUUGAUUUUAGUUGCCAUCAUUAAGUUGGGCACUCUAAGGUGACUUCCGGGGACAAAUCGGAGGAAGGUGGGGAUGACGUCAAAUCAUCAUGCCCCUUAUGACCUGGGCUACACACGUGCUACAAUGGGCGGUACAAAGAGCUGCCAAACCGCGAGGUGGAGCUAAUCUCAUAAAACCAUUCUCAGUUCGGAUUGUAGGCUGCAACUCGCCUACAUGAAGCUGGAAUCGCUAGUAAUCGCGGAUCAGCAUGCCGCGGUGAAUACGUUCCCGGGCCUUGUACACACCGCCCGUCACGCCACGAGAGUUUGUAACCCCCGAAGUCGGUGGGGUAACCUUUAGGAAUUCACCCGCUCUAUG
Molecule: ribosomal RNA, 558 nt
Filed under: Bacillus sp. (in: firmicutes)
Lineage: Bacteria; Bacillati; Bacillota; Bacilli; Caryophanales; Bacillaceae
Description: bacterial SSU rRNA
Rfam family: Bacterial small subunit ribosomal RNA
Source: RNAcentral